AGAGUUUGAUCCUGGCUCAGAACGAACGUUAGCGGCGCGCUUAACACAUGCAAGUCGAACGAGAAAGCACCUUCGGGUGUGAGUAAAGUGGCGCACGGGUGAGUAACACGUGGGUAAUCUACCUUUUGGUGGGGGACAACAUCUCGAAAGGGGUGCUAAUACCGCAUAAGUCCACUUCGGUGGGGAAAGGCGGCUUCGGCUGUCGCCAGAAGAUGAGCCCGCGGCCCAUCAGCUUGUUGGUAGGGUAAUGGCCUACCAAGGCACCGACGGGUAGCUGGUCUGAGAGGAUGAUCAGUCACACUGGAACUGAGACACGGUCCAGACUCCUACGGGAGGCAGCAGUGGGGAAUAUUGCGCAAUGGGCGAAAGCCUGACGCAGCGACGCCGCGUGGGUGAUGAAGGUUUUCGGAUCGUAAAGCCCUGUGGGAGAGGGGAGAACACCCUAUGGGAACAAUACCCUGUAGGUCUGACGGUACCUCUCCAGAAAGCACCGGCUAACUCCGUGCCAGCAGCCGCGGUAAUACGGAGGGUGCAAACGUUGUUCGGAAUCACUGGGCGUAAAGCGCGUGUAGGCGGCACGUUAAGUCAGAUGUGAAAGCCCUCGGCUCAACCGAGGAAGUGCAUUUGAAACUGGCGAGCUAGAGUACGGGAGAGGGUUGUAGAAUUCCCGGUGUAGAGGUGAAAUUCGUAGAUAUCGGGAGGAAUACCGGUGGCGAAGGCGGCAACCUGGACCGAUACUGACGCUGAGACGCGAAAGCGUGGGGAGCAAACAGGAUUAGAUACCCUGGUAGUCCACGCCGUAAACGAUGGACACUAGGUGCUGCGG
Molecule: ribosomal RNA, 826 nt
Filed under: uncultured bacterium
Lineage: Bacteria
Description: bacterial SSU rRNA
Rfam family: Bacterial small subunit ribosomal RNA
Source: RNAcentral